UGUCUUACAAGUCAUUCCCUUCCUUCCCGUUACUGCAGAAAUUAAAAUAUAAAAUGAUUGCACUUUGCAAAAAAAAUAUUAGAACCUUAGAUUAAAAGCACAUAUAUUGAACUUACAUGAUGUACGGACUAAGGCUGCAUAACAGGACCUCAUUACAAAAUCUUCGAUUAAAAACACAUAAAAAUGGCAAUUAUAAAAUCUAUAAAAUGUUACCUGUAGUGCUUGGCUUUGUAGAUUCUUGGAGCAAUCAACACCAUCUUUAACAGAUUCAGUCACGAUUUUCUUGUUCGAAUAAAGGAACCAAACCUUUCUUCAACCUGAAAUUAUCAUUAUACCAAUAAAAGAACCAAACUUUGCUUCGAUCUGAAAGUAGUGUAAAUUACAAUAAAAGUUGUUGAUAAUCCAACAAGGAGAACAUAC
RNAcentral lists this long non-coding RNA (420 nucleotides) under Erythranthe guttata (spotted monkey flower). RNAcentral's name for it is "long non-coding RNA (EGUT_LNC001737)". The record is from RNAcentral. Lineage: Eukaryota; Viridiplantae; Streptophyta; Magnoliopsida; Lamiales; Phrymaceae.